Long non-coding RNA from Propithecus coquereli (Coquerel's sifaka), 407 nucleotides. RefSeq lists it as uncharacterized. The record is from RefSeq and is a predicted model, not a curated record. Lineage: Eukaryota; Metazoa; Chordata; Mammalia; Primates; Indriidae. The transcript has 2 exons.
GAGCCUGACCGUUCGCGUCCAGCAUGAUCAGAAAAAGAAUUUUCUUUUUCCAACUUUGGCUUUUGGUUUUGUGUUGUACACCUCGAGGCAGCUCCGGAGCCAGCCGACCCCAAAUGGAUUCUCAACAGGUGUCCGGUGUCAACGCACUAGAGCGGCCGUCUCACCUCCUGAGGUGUCUUCAUUCCCAGAGGGCCCGGACUCCCAGCCGCAGCCCAACACAGGGCCCGCGCGCCGGAGAGGAGGUGCUCCGACGGCAAAAAUCCCAUACAUUUUUAACUACAGUGAUUACUAAAUUAAUAGCAGGCACUAAGACAGAUGUCAAAACGUCUUGAAAAUGUUUAUCUGCGAAUAAUUGAGAAGGUGGUGGGACGCAUUAUCUGAUUGUGUAAUGAAAUAUGUAUGAGGAA